UACGUAGGGUGCGAGCGUUAAUCGGAAUUACUGGGCGUAAAGCGCGCGCAGGCGGUUUUUUAAGCCAGGUGUGAAAGCCCCGGGCUCAACCUGGGAAUGGCAUUUGGGACUGCAAGGCUUGAGUGCGGCAGAGGAGACUGGAAUUCCUGGUGUAGCAGUGAAAUGCGUAGAUAUCAGGAGGAAUACCGAUGGCGAAGGCAGGUCUCUGGGCUGACACUGACGCUCAUGCACGAAAGCGUGGGGAGCAAACAGG
This 253-nucleotide ribosomal RNA is filed under the name uncultured bacterium. RNAcentral's name for it is "partial 16S ribosomal RNA". It matches the Rfam family "Bacterial small subunit ribosomal RNA", at positions 524 to 776 of the family's 1533-position model. The record is from RNAcentral.